This 252-nucleotide ribosomal RNA is filed under the name uncultured Gemmata sp. Its description in RNAcentral is "partial 16S ribosomal RNA". It matches the Rfam family "Bacterial small subunit ribosomal RNA", at positions 524 to 776 of the family's 1533-position model. Lineage: Bacteria; Pseudomonadati; Planctomycetota; Planctomycetia; Gemmatales; Gemmataceae. The record is from RNAcentral.
GACGAACUGUCCUAACGUUGUUCGGAAUCACUGGGCGUAAAGGGCGCGUAGGCGGCUUACAAAGUCAGGGGUGAAAUCUUGCGGCUUAACCGUAAUCAGCCUCUGAUACUGGUAGGCUCGAGGGAGGUAGGGGUAUGUGGAACUUCUGGUGGAGCGGUGAAAUGCGUUGAUAUCAGAAGGAACGCCGGUGGCGAAAGCGACGUACUGGACCUCUUCUGACGCUGAGGCGCGAAAGCUAGGGGAGCAAACGGG